Octopus sinensis (East Asian common octopus) is the source of this 153-nucleotide long non-coding RNA. RefSeq lists it as uncharacterized. The transcript is spliced from 3 exons. Lineage: Eukaryota; Metazoa; Mollusca; Cephalopoda; Octopoda; Octopodidae. The record is from RefSeq and is a predicted model, not a curated record.
GUGUGUGUGUGUGUAUGUUUGGUUUUUUUCCCGGCUAAUUUGGCUAGAGUUUUGCAGUCAGCACGAGGUGGUUUGUGUUUAUCUCUCAAGUCGAAUUGUUGUUAAUUUGUCUGCAAUAGCAAUGCCCGGACAAGUGAAAAUAUCUUCAUUUUU